RNAcentral lists this non-coding RNA (29 nucleotides) under Bombyx mori (domestic silkworm). The record is from RNAcentral. Lineage: Eukaryota; Metazoa; Arthropoda; Insecta; Lepidoptera; Bombycidae.
UGAAUAUCUUCCUUGAUAGUUUUUCUGAC